Non-coding RNA from Python bivittatus (Burmese python), 3107 nucleotides. Lineage: Eukaryota; Metazoa; Chordata; Lepidosauria; Squamata; Pythonidae. The record is from RefSeq and is a predicted model, not a curated record.
AUAUUCAAUCAUGUUCUUCUAGAAAUCAUUGAUGAUCUUGCCAAUUUGGUAGAAAAUACUGAUGACAAACUACGCAAGCAAACCAAACAUGUCAUGAUGGUGGAUAAAAAAUCAACCUCCUGUGGGAUGAUGGUGGUGAUCGUCUUAUUGCUGAUUGCUAUUGUGGUUGUUGCUGUGUGGCCUACGAAGUAAUCAGAGGUUAUCUCAUUUUGCAACUAAGUGUUAAUUGCAGUCUGUGGCAAGGACAACUCCACCUCCUUGUUGGCACUCUCUAUGGAUGCAGCUAUACUCACUCCAUUCCAAGAGGCAGAUCCAUGGCCAAGCUGCACAAAGGUUUUGCAAAAUUCUGUAUAAAACUUUGUAUACUCAAGAACAUAACUGGAAAAGAAAUGACUCACCUAAUAAACUUCAAGGCAUAAAUAUAAUUAAUUUCAAAGAAAUACUUUUUGUCUAUAAAUGCUUUUAAGAGUACUAAAUGGAUUUUUCUCUUAAUCUCUACAGUGUCUAAUUAAAAUAUUAGCAUUUUUUUUCUAACAUUAGUUCCUUGUAGCUGAAAUAUAUGCUUCUUCAUGAGAGAAUUUCAGUGAUUCAAGAGAAACUGCCAUCUUUGAAGUAAGAGCAAGGGUGCACAUAGAUUUGCUGGCAUCUUUCAAAUUAAAAAAAAAAAUCCACAAAAUCUUUGACUUGAGUCAGAGGGCAAUUACUGUUGUAAGAUAGUAGCAACCAGAAAUGUAUUUUGGAAUUAAAAGAUGAAGGUUCUGUCCAAAAAUUGAACAUAUUAUAUUAUACCUGGGUUUCUUUUCUUUACUUAGUUAUAUUAAUAGCAGGGAAGAAAAGGAAUUACUGUAGAUACACAGAAUUUCAAAAUGUAUUGUUUCCAUAUUUGUUCUGAAAGUAGACGAGAAUGAUUCUCAGCAGAAUUGGCAGGGAAGUGAAUCUCCUUCUGUAACUUACCUUGAACACUCAAAAUCUACAUUGAAGCAUUAGCAGAGCACAUUUGGGAGGAUGAGGGCUGCAAGGGAGAGAAGGAAGUCCUAUUGCAUGAACAUCUUUGUGUUUAUGCAGCAAUGGAUUAAACCCCUAUAUUAAUUCAUGUUCAGAUAUUGUUAUUUUUGCUAUGUAUGUAUUGACAUAAUGGAUAGCAAAGUAGUAAGACUGAAUAGAAGCCAUUAUAGUUCUAUAGGAUUACUUUCUUUACCUUCUUGAAUAUCUAGGAUUAAUGACAUUCUAGACCAUGUAGAAUAUGGGCUAGAAUGUCAUUAUGCUGAAUAAUUCAGAUUGGGGGAAAUGUGCUAUGAGAUCAGUAGGUUUCAGAAGAAAACUAUAUUAAGAGCUUUAUGUACAUAUCUAGUAAAUGGCUGAAAGCUGUUGUGUAAACUCUUUUGUGUUAUUUACUAUUCCAGAGUAUCUGGUCUUUCCCAUGUUUGACUGAAUAGAAUUGAUCAUCCACUAUUGAAUAUGAUAAUGUUUGGUUAAAAUCAAGAUAUUAAUUGGGAAGAGAGGAUAAAAAUCUGCAAAUGGAAUGUUUGACCAACUGAUAUCAAAGGCUACUUUCUCUCUUGCCAGAGGUAUUCACCAUAGGGUACCCAUCAUAAGAAGUUGCCUUUCAGUAGUACAAACAAAAAGGCAAACUAUCAUACUAUAAUCAAUUAUGUUAGACAUGGAUAUGCUUGGUAAUAUUGAUUAAAGCAAUGUAACUUUAAAGUUACAUUGUAAUAUUGAUUAAAGCAAUGUGAACUGUAGAUCACAUUCUGAACCUGCUAAUAGAUGAAAAUUCUAUUUUAGGAUAUAUUAAUAGCAAUAGAGUCCAGAUCCCAGGAAAUAAAUGUCUCACUCUACUUUUCUUGGUCAUUUUCCACUUGGAAAAGUAUGUCCAGUGACAAACUGGAGUGAAUUCAGAGGAGGCUACAAAGAUAGUUAGGGAACUGAAAACCAAGUCCUGUGAGGAACAGUUAAAGGAACUGGGUUUGUGUAAUCUGCAGAAAAGAGGACCAUGGGGCGAUAUGAUACUAGUCUCCAGAUAUCAGAAGAGUUAUCAUUAAAGAGGAAGGAGUGGACUUGUUUUUCUGGAGGGCAAGACCAGUGGGUGGAAAUUACAGGAUUGAAGAAGAAAAAAAAAAGAUUCAGGUUAGAUAUAGGAGGAAUUUCCUGAUGGUCAGAACUCUCAAUUGAUGGCAUUGGUUGCCUCAUGCAGCAGUACAGUUUCCUUCAACAGAAGUCUUCAAACAAUCUGGAUUUGUCCAAAAUUCUUUAGCAGAUCCUGCACUGAGUCAGAGGGUUAGACUAGGUGGCCUAUAAGGUCUUUCACAACUCUAUGAGUCUAUGGUGAAAGUGAACGAGUCAGUGUGAGCAGCUCCCUUUUUACUGAAAGGUAACAAGAUCACUUUUCUACUGAAGGAUUACUGGUCACUUCAGUUUAGGUUUUCAUUAUCACUGGAGCAAUUCACUUCUGAAGCUGGACCAGGUCAAACUUUUCUGAAUUCAUGAUUCCAUGUGCAUGUUCUUCUAAGGAGAGAUGGAGCAAACCAGAUCUUUGCCUGGUUUGGAGGCUGAUAAAAUUGUUAGUAAUGAAAAGGGAUCAGAGUGACUUGAUAGCUUAUAGUUAAAUCAAGCACAUGAAAGUUUUGGCUUAUCUUCUGAUCUUCAGUUAAAAUAAUACUACUUUCCCAAGAGAAGUAGUCCUCCUUGGAGAGAGGUUUUCAAAACAGUCUUCUUACUGUGAUGUGUGCCUUCUCAAUGUUGAAAAGAAAUAAUGCAUUUUAUGGUUGGAAUAUUUUUAUGACGGCAUGAUAGAUUUGUUAUAAAAUAUUUAACAUUUAUUGGUUUUUGAAAUUAUGUAUGUAAAGCUUUCAGAUAUUUUCACAUCUUCACAUAUUUUAUAUUCAUCUUUAUAACAAUUCAGUAAAUUUAGCCAAGCUGAGGGAAAAGCAGCUGAGUCGCCUCUGGUGAAAUGAAUUUUGAACGGAAGACUUUCUAGAUUUUUGCUUGCAGAAUUGGGAAACACAGUGCCCAGUUAAUACGAACUGGCAUAUAUGUCAUAUGGAGAUAAUGUUGUGUGAGCUGGACUCUUUUCCUCAGAUCAAAUAAAUUGUGUUUUUCAACUUAAA